GACGAACGCUGGCGGUGUGCCUAACACAUGCAAGUCGAACGGAAACGCCCUGCGAUUUUGCGGUGCUCGAUGGGCGAUCGGGGGAGUAACACGUGAGUAACCGGCUCUUGACUUUGGGAGAGCUUCAGGAAACUGGGGUUAAUACCGUAUAGGAGCCCCCGCUCCGGUGUGAGGGGUGGAAAUUCUCGGCGGGUGGGGUUGGACUCGCGGCUUAUCAGCUUGCUGGUGGGGGAGUGGCUUACCGAGGCUGUGACGGGUAGCCGGCCUGAGAGGGUGACAGGCGACCUUGAGACUGAGAUGCGGCCGAGAUUCGUACGGGAGGCAGCAGUGGGGAAUAUUGCACAAUGGGCGGAAGCCUGAUGCAGCAACGCCGCGUGCUGGAUGACGGCCUUGGGGUUGAAAACCGCCUUCGCCUGUGACCAAGCCUGUGUGACGGUAAUCGGUAGAGAAGCAACCGCUAACUAUCUG
This 468-nucleotide ribosomal RNA is filed under the name uncultured bacterium. RNAcentral's name for it is "partial 16S ribosomal RNA". It matches the Rfam family "Bacterial small subunit ribosomal RNA", at positions 28 to 507 of the family's 1533-position model. The record is from RNAcentral.